CGAAAGCCUGACGGAGCAAUACCGCGUGAGGGAUAAAGGCCUUCGGGUUGUAAACCUCUUUUAUCAAGGAGGAAAUUUUGACGUGUACUUGAUGAAUAAGCAUCGGCUAACUCCGUGCCAGCAGCCGCGGUAAGACGGAGGAUGCGAGUGUUAUCCGGAAUUAUUGGGCGUAAAGCGUCUGUAGGUGGUUUGAAAAGUCCAUGGUUAAAACUUGAAGCUUAACUUCAAAGAUGCCAUGGAAACUCUUAAACUUGAGUAUGGUAGGGGUAAAGGGAAUUUCCAGUGGAGCGGUGAAAUGCGUAGAUAUUGGAAAGACCACCGACGGCGAAGGCACUUUACUGGGCCAUUACUGACACUAAGAGACGAAAGCUAGGGGAGCAC
This 381-nucleotide ribosomal RNA is filed under the name uncultured cyanobacterium. Its description in RNAcentral is "bacterial SSU rRNA". It matches the Rfam family "Bacterial small subunit ribosomal RNA", at positions 376 to 771 of the family's 1533-position model. The record is from RNAcentral. Lineage: Bacteria; Bacillati; Cyanobacteriota.